UUUGGAUAAAAAUACAACGCCAAGACCUAACUAGUCCAUUCAUGCCCAAGUCAACGAAAAAUAAAGAAAAAAAAAGGUUUGAGAUCCAAGCAAAUUAGUUUUACCCAAGACCCAUUAACAAAACAAAAUCUAGCUAAAUAGGUAGACGAUGAAGGUGCCUCCUCUACAAUAACAUCACCGUAGCUUGCGAAACUAAGGUUUGGGAAAAAAAGGUUGCCGGCUCCAUAUACCACCAUAUAGAAGGAGAGAGAACAUGUCUCCAAUGACGGAAA
RNAcentral lists this unclassified non-coding RNA (272 nucleotides) under Hevea brasiliensis (rubber tree). Lineage: Eukaryota; Viridiplantae; Streptophyta; Magnoliopsida; Malpighiales; Euphorbiaceae. The record is from RNAcentral.